RNAcentral lists this ribosomal RNA (497 nucleotides) under uncultured bacterium. Its description in RNAcentral is "partial 16S ribosomal RNA". It matches the Rfam family "Bacterial small subunit ribosomal RNA", at positions 28 to 507 of the family's 1533-position model. The record is from RNAcentral.
GAUGAACGCUGGCGGCGUGCCUAAUACAUGCAAGUCGAGCGAACAGACGAGGAGCUUGCUUCUCUGACGUUAGCGGCGGACGGGUGAGUAACACGUGGAUAACCUACCUAUAAGACUGGGAUAACUUCGGGAAACCGGAGCUAAUACCGGAUAAUAUAUUGAACCGCAUGGUUCAAUAGUGAAAGACGGUUUUGCUGUCACUUAUAGAUGGAUCCGCGCCGCAUUAGCUAGUUGGUAAGGUAACGGCUUACCAAGGCAACGAUGCGUAGCCGACCUGAGAGGGUGAUCGGCCACACUGGAACUGAGACACGGUCCAGACUCCUACGGGAGGCAGCAGUAGGGAAUCUUCCGCAAUGGGCGAAAGCCUGACGGAGCAACGCCGCGUGAGUGAUGAAGGUCUUCGGAUCGUAAAGCUCUGUUAUUAGGGAAGAACAAAUGUGUAAGUAACUAUGCACGUCUUGACGGUACCUAAUCAGAAAGCCACGGCUAACUACGUG